CCUACGGGAGGCAGCAGUGAGGAAUAUUGGUCAAUGGGCGAGAGCCUGAACCAGCCAAGCCGCGUGAGGGAGUACUGCCCUAUGGGUUGUAAACCUCUUUUGUCGGGGAGCAAAAGCCGGACGUGUCCGGCUGUGAGAGUACCCGAAGAAAAAGCAUCGGCUAACUCCGGGCCAGCAGCCGCGGUAAUACGGAGGAUGCGAGCGUUAUCCGGAUUUAUUGGGUUUAAAGGGUGCGCAGGCGGAUUUUUAAGUCAGCGGUAAAAUCGUGGGGCUCAACCCCAUCCAGCCGUUGAAACUGGGGAUCUAGAGUGUGCGAGAGGUAUGCGGAAUGCGUGGUGUAGCGGUGAAAUGCAUAGAUAUCACGCAGAACCCCGAUUGCGAAGGCAGCAUACCGGUGCACAACUGACGCUCAGGCACGAAAGCGUGGGUAUCGAACAGGAUUAGAUACCCGAGUAGUC
Molecule: ribosomal RNA, 458 nt
Filed under: uncultured bacterium
Lineage: Bacteria
Description: partial 16S ribosomal RNA
Rfam family: Bacterial small subunit ribosomal RNA
Source: RNAcentral